RNAcentral lists this ribosomal RNA (405 nucleotides) under uncultured prokaryote. RNAcentral describes it as "bacterial SSU rRNA". It matches the Rfam family "Bacterial small subunit ribosomal RNA", at positions 355 to 774 of the family's 1533-position model. The record is from RNAcentral.
UGGGGGAUAUUGCACCAUGGGCGAAAGCCUGGUGCAGCAACGCCGCGUGCGGGAAGACGGUCUUCGGAUUGUAACCCUUUAGCUUUGGGGAAGAAACAAAUGACGGUACCCAAAGGGGCAGCCACGGCUAACUACGUGCCAGCAGCCGCGGUAAUACGUAAGUGGCAAGCGUUGUCCGGAAUUACUGGGUGUAAAGGGAGCGCAGGCGGGGAGACAAGUCAGCUGUGAAAACUAUGGGCUUAACCCAUAGAUUGCAGUGGAAACUGGUUGUCUUGAGUGGAGUAGAGGUAGGCGGAAUUCCGAGUGGAGCGGUGAAAUGCGUAGAUAUUCGGAGGAACAACAGUGGCGAAGGCGGCCUACUGGGCUCUAACUGACGCUGAGGCUCGAAAGUGUGGGGAGCAAACA